AUGGAGGAUGCGGUCACUUCUAAUCCAGCUCCCAACAUUAUUGACCUCCCUGAUGAUGAUGAAGAGCCCGAGAGGUCUUUGACGAGGAAGAGUAGGCGAGCUCCUGUAAGUGAGGCGCUACAGUCGACGCCGAGGGCGGAACCAGUCGUUCAGGACACUGGUGACGUCAAUCGGGGUUCUGUUACCUUCGCGGAGCCCCUGUCGAGUGCCUUGCCUUCUUCUUCGACUGCUCAGGCCCCUGUCGACCCGCCUUUAGUUUUUGCGACCCAUCAUGUCCCAGAGGACGAGGUGAAUGCUGCUAGGGAAGCCAUACGCCAGGCGGGCAUUAUGAUGGAGAAGAUGAAGAUGGUGUGGGACGCCAGCCAAGCCGCCUAUGAUGCCAGCUCGGCUCUCCAGAGCAACGUUCAGAAAUCUUGCGAUCUUGGAGCUCGCUUUGCUGACUUGGAGAAGCAGCAGAUUCAACUGAACCUUGAUCUGGAGCUGGCCAGGACAGAGCUGCAAAAGGUCAGAGACGACGCCGCAGAAAAACUGAGAGAAGCUUUGGCGAAGAAGGAUCAGGACUUGGUUGCUGCCCGUAAGGAGGCUGACGACAAGACCGCUCUGGCCGAACAGAAGCUGGCUUCGGUCGGCCAGUUAGAAGAAGAGAAUACCAGGCUGAAGACCGCUCUGAAUGAAGCCAACAGGGAGUGUACACGUUGGAAGAAGGAUAACCUCAACCUGAACGAAAAGAUGGAAGGCAUCGCUCGCAGGAGGGACGAUCUGGAGAGCUACUUGAGGAGCCUCGCCAAGAAGUUGUACAUCAAGCUCGAAGAGUUUUGCCAGAACUUUGAACAGGAGACUGGGCGGAUUGAACCAGGUUUGGAUCCAAUCAACUCUCCCGUGAAAGAUGAAACUGCCAUGAAUCUGCUCCGACUGGAAUCUCGCAUCGACGGUGCCGUGGACUACUUGGGUCGACUGAAGGUCGCCAUGUCAUGGAUCGACCCGGCACUUUGGCCAGAGGCUACGCUCCAAAACGAUCUCGAGUCUCUGAUGACUCGACUUAACGGAAUCCCUGACCAAGUGAAGAAGUCUUCUGCUCGGUGUGGCGCUGAUGUGGCUCUGUCCUUGGUUCGUGUCCACUGCAAGGAGGUGCGACAAGACAAGCUGGCAGCAAUCAAGGUCGCCAACACCCAGAAGCAUGACUUCCGAACCUUUAUGGAGACUUUCAUCGCUGCAGCCACUCCGAUAGCCGACGGCGUCGACCUGGAUGAGUUCGUCGAGCCUGCCAGCCCUCCUCCCGCAGAGUGA
This 1287-nucleotide ribosomal RNA is filed under the name Triticum aestivum (bread wheat). RNAcentral describes it as "partial small subunit ribosomal RNA". The record is from RNAcentral. Lineage: Eukaryota; Viridiplantae; Streptophyta; Magnoliopsida; Poales; Poaceae.